CAAGUCGAACGAACUCUGGUAUUGAUUGGUGCUUGCAUCAUGAUUUACAUUUGAGUGAGUGGCGAACUGGUGAGUAACACGUGGGAAACCUGCCCAGAAGCGGGGGAUAACACCUGGAAACAGAUGCUAAUACCGCAUAACAACUUGGACCGCAUGGUCCGAGUUUGAAAGAUGGCUUCGGCUAUCACUUUUGGAUGGUCCCGCGGCGUAUUAGCUAGAUGGUGGGGUAACGGCUCACCAUGGCAAUGAUACGUAGCCGACCUGAGAGGGUAAUCGGCCACAUUGGGACUGAGACACGGCCCAAACUCCUACGGGAGGCAGCAGUAGGGAAUCUUCCACAAUGGACGAAAGUCUGAUGGAGCAACGCCGCGUGAGUGAAGAAGGGUUUCGGCUCGUAAAACUCUGUUGUUAAAGAAGAACAUAUCUGAGAGUAACUGUUCAGGUAUUGACG
This 451-nucleotide ribosomal RNA is filed under the name Lactiplantibacillus plantarum. RNAcentral's name for it is "bacterial SSU rRNA". It matches the Rfam family "Bacterial small subunit ribosomal RNA", at positions 58 to 474 of the family's 1533-position model. The record is from RNAcentral. Lineage: Bacteria; Bacillati; Bacillota; Bacilli; Lactobacillales; Lactobacillaceae.